AACGCGAAGAACCUUACCUGGGCUCGAACGGCUUAAGACCGGGGUGGAAACACCCUCUCCCCUUAAAAGGCUUGAGUCGAGGUGCUGCAUGGCUGUCGUCAGCUCGUGUCGUGAGAUGUUGGGUUAAGUCCCGCAACGAGCGCAACCCUUGUCCUGUGUUGCCAUCAUUUAGUUGGGCACUCUCAGGAGACCGCCAGCGAUAAGCUGGAGGAAGGUGGGGAUGAUGUCAAGUCAUCAUGGCCUUUAUGUCCAGGGCUACACACGUGCUACAAUGGCCGGUACAAAGCGCUGCAAACUCGCAAGAGGGAGCUAAUCGCAAAAAACCGGUCUCAGUUCGGAUCGCAGGCUGCAACUCGCCUGCGUGAAGCUGGAAUCGCUAGUAAUGCCGUAUCAGAACGAUGGCGUGAAUACGUUCCCGGGCCUUGUACACACCGGCUAC
RNAcentral lists this ribosomal RNA (439 nucleotides) under uncultured bacterium. RNAcentral's name for it is "bacterial SSU rRNA". It matches the Rfam family "Bacterial small subunit ribosomal RNA", at positions 958 to 1397 of the family's 1533-position model. The record is from RNAcentral.